Camelus ferus (Wild Bactrian camel) is the source of this 74-nucleotide transfer RNA. It matches the Rfam family "tRNA". Rfam says of the family: Transfer RNA (tRNA) molecules are approximately 80 nucleotides in length. Their secondary structure includes four short double-helical elements and three loops (D, anti-codon, and T loops). Lineage: Eukaryota; Metazoa; Chordata; Mammalia; Artiodactyla; Camelidae. The record is from Rfam.
GGUAAGGUACAGCUCAGUGGUAGAGCGUGUGCUUAACAUGCACAAGGUCCUGGAUUCAAUCUCCAGUACCACCA